Long non-coding RNA from Harpegnathos saltator (Jerdon's jumping ant), 396 nucleotides. RefSeq lists it as uncharacterized. The record is from RefSeq and is a predicted model, not a curated record. Lineage: Eukaryota; Metazoa; Arthropoda; Insecta; Hymenoptera; Formicidae. The transcript has 3 exons.
CCGACAUCACCAUACCGUCCGUUUGUGAGUUCUUCCGUCCGAGUUCUUUCACGUAAUGGUCGAUAUUCGUGGCGUUGUUCUUCAGAGCGGAUACUGGGAUCGAGUACAGAUGGAAGGAAGAUAGAGGCGAAUAGUAGACGUGCCUGAAACAUUGUGUCGUCUCUUGGGAGAUCUCGCGUGUCGAGAGGCUCACGUAUGGUCGUAUUUUGACAUUUAACGUCUCUUCGCAGAGGAGAACAACAAUGUAAAAUCUACCGGCUGUAAAGAAACACUAAUUUAAUAAUACCUGUCCAUGCUGCUUGCUGGCGAAAGCGCUAUACCAUCCACGUGCACCGAGAGUACACGAUGAUGCCAGGAUCGUUGUUGCUGUUAUCGGUGAUGUACGCCAUGCCACCG